Peromyscus eremicus (cactus mouse) is the source of this 1000-nucleotide long non-coding RNA. RefSeq lists it as uncharacterized. The transcript has 2 exons. NCBI's taxonomy places the organism in Eukaryota, Metazoa, Chordata, Mammalia, Rodentia, Cricetidae. The record is from RefSeq and is a predicted model, not a curated record.
AGAGGUUCCAGCACCCAACUCGUGCCCGAGGGACUUGCCUGGGAUGUUCUCUGCGCUCCUCCCCUACCCGCUGCCCGGGCAGUCCUUGCGGGGCUACUACCCCAGCGCUAGAACCGUGGAGAAGUUUCGCCGCUGCAAACGUGAGAAAAAGCAGCUCUGCAGGACACCGCCCCCACACGCCCCACCCCACAGCCCGACCCCUGGCGGUGGCGACCUCGGUCACCCUGAAGGCGCCAGUGCACGGGAGGAGGGGCUGCCUUUGGGCCUUUCCUGGGAGCUAGGGAGGUCGCCAGGAUAGGGCCACCUCCGGUCGCCGUCCACCACCCGGACUGGCGCCACCAAGCCCUCGCACCCGACUCCCCUCGGCCAGCCGCCCUUGCGCCGCGCGCCUCUCCACCCGGACUCACCGCUCUGUGCGCAGCAAGGGUCGCAUCGGGUCCCAGGGCUCUUGCGCCUCGGGGCUGCGGCUCCCCGCCGGUCCUGCCGCGCUCUUCUCCCCCCACCCGCCGCCGUCCUCCACGGCCCUGUCUCUCGACUCUUUUUUCCGGGUUAAUUACGUUUCGCAUUAAAGCAAAACCCAGCCCCGGAUGUGCAGGGAGGAGUUGAGCCGGAGACAGGGAGCUACAGAGUCCCACAGUGCUGAGCAAAGGCUUCAGAAGUUUCUGCUUCAGGCUUCUGGAGCCCGAGGGUUCCUGAACCAGGAAAGACACAAUCAGAAAGAAACAGGCAACAGUCCGAAUAGCUGGUGAUCAUGUAACAGGCAGCGUCAACCUGCAAGGGUGUGACUCCCUGUCAUCAACUAACUGAACAGCCAAGGAUCCCAUGACUUACCUUUUCUGUGUCUCUACCGCAAGCAGCCUCGUGCUUUAGGGGUAGGUACUAAGUGCCUAGGUUGUCAGGGGCUGCUCCUGCAGCUCAGCAGCAAAGCACUUACCCAGCUUGCUCCAGUCCCCAAGUUCCAUCCUCUGGGCCCCACAAAAAUAAAUAAAAAUCGAUUUUG